Molecule: ribosomal RNA, 506 nt
Filed under: uncultured bacterium
Lineage: Bacteria
Description: partial 16S ribosomal RNA
Rfam family: Bacterial small subunit ribosomal RNA
Source: RNAcentral
AGUGAACGCUGGCGGUAGGCCUAAUACAUGCAAGUCGAACGGCAGCACAGAGGAGCUUGCUCCUUGGGUGGCGAGUGGCGGACGGGUGAGGAAUACAUCGGAAUCUACUCUGUCGUGGGGGAUAACGUAGGGAAACUUACGCUAAUACCGCAUACGACAUACGGGUGAAAGCAGGGGACCUUCGGGCCUUGCGCGAUUGAAUGAGCCGAUGUCGGAUUAGCUAGUUGGCGGGGUAAAGGCCCACCAAGGCGACGAUCCGUAGCUGGUCUGAGAGGAUGAUCAGCCACACUGGAACUGAGACACGGUCCAGACUCCUACGGGAGGCAGCAGUGGGGAAUAUUGGACAAUGGGCGCAAGCCUGAUCCAGCCAUACCGCGUGGGUGAAGAAGGCCUUCGGGUUGUAAAGCCCUUUUGUUGGGAAAGAAAUCCAGCUGGCUAAUACCCGGUUGGGAUGACGGUACCCAAAGAAUAAGCACCGGCUAACUUCGUGCCAGCCGCCGCCGUAA